UAUGGACUUUGGUUCAAGAGUUUAUUUGCUUUUGCUGCGAGACACAAUGACUCACCUGGUAUUGUCAAAACUGUAAAAAGCAACAAGGAAAUAUCUGGUCAUUAUCUGGAGUCAUUACAGGAAGAAGCUCAGGGCGUUUUGGGACGUCUUCGGCAACUCUUUGGACUGCUGUCGGCCUGCAGACUGAGGACUGAUGAAGGACAGGAAGCUGAGGAUUUCAGCACAUGGUUUUCUACACAGACCUGGUCUAGAGUGAAGAAGUCCAUGGGAAGAAGCUGAUCGUCAAACCCACAGACCGAACGCAGCGAUGUCAGAGGAGUCGAGCGACACUACAGCCUGUCAGCUGUCUGUUGGAGCAAAGACGGAGAAGUCUGUGAAGAAGCAGCUGAAGGAUCUUCUGCAGGAUUUGAGACGUUGUGAACUGGAAGAGUUCCAGUGGUUCCUGCAGAAUGCUGAGGAACUGGUUGGUUUUCCAGCCAUCAAAGUGUGCAAGCUGGACAAUGCAAGUUACCUGAAAACAGUAGAUGAGAUGGUCAACA
Long non-coding RNA from Seriola aureovittata, 539 nucleotides. RefSeq lists it as uncharacterized. The record is from RefSeq and is a predicted model, not a curated record. Lineage: Eukaryota; Metazoa; Chordata; Actinopteri; Carangiformes; Carangidae. The transcript is spliced from 4 exons.